Molecule: long non-coding RNA, 4032 nt
Organism: Cyanistes caeruleus (blue tit)
Lineage: Eukaryota; Metazoa; Chordata; Aves; Passeriformes; Paridae
Source: Ensembl
AAUCUCCCCCAAAUUCACCCCAAAAUCCAAUGGGAACCCCAAAAUCCCCAAAUUCACCCCAAAACUCACCUGGAACCCCCAAAUCCUCCAAAUUCACCCCAAAAUCCCCAAAUUCACCCCAAAAUUCACCCCAAAAUUCUAAAAUUCCCCAAAUCCACCCCAAAAUCCCCCAAAUUCACCCCAAAAUCCCCCUGGGACCCCCCCAAAAUCCCCUCCCAGGCUUCACCUGCGGGGUGGGCGGAGCUUCGGCGUCACCCCCAACAUCUGGAUGGGGGGGUCCCUCCACACCUGGAUCGGGGGGUUCCUCCACAUCUGGAUGGGGGGGCUCCUCCCCCUCCACAUCUGGAAUCCUGGGGGGCGGGAACAGCUGGGUGUCCACAUCUGGAACGCCGGGGGGCUCCUCCCCCUCCACAUCUGGAUCCCCGGGGGGCUCCUCCCCCUCCACAUCUGGAACACCGGGGGGCUCCGGGCCCCCCACAUCUGGAUGGGGGGGUUCCUCCUGCCCCACAUCUGGAAUCCUCGGGGGCGGGAACAGCUGGGUGGCCACAUCUGGAACGCCGGGGGGCUCCUCCCCCUCCACAUCUGGAUCCCUGGGGGUCACGAACAGCUGGGUGGCCACAUCUGGAUCCGGGCUCGCCACCCCUCCCCCCGCCGGGAUUUUGGGGCCUCUGGGGGCCGCAUUUGGGGGCAGGAACAGCUGGGUGGCCACAUCUGGAUCGGGGGAGGGCGGCCCCUCCGCCACAUCUGGAAGGCCGGGGCUUCCCGGGCUGCCAACAUCUGGGGAGGGCAGGAAGGGCUGGGUGGGCACAUCUGGAUCCGACUCCUCCUCCUCCUCCACAUCUGGAUCCGGCUCCUCCUCCUCCACAUCUGGAUCCGGCUCCUCCUCCUCCACAUCUGGAAUUCGGGGCGGCAGGAACAGCUGGGUGGCCACAUCUGGAUCCCACCCCUCCCCUCCCCCCGCCACAUCUGGAGCCCCGGGCGGCCCCGGGGCGAUCCGCCGCCUCUUGGGGGGCCGAACAUCUGGAUCCUCCUCCCCCUCCUCCACAUCUGGAGCUUCCGGGAGGUUUUGGGUCGUUUUGGGCCUUUCUGGGGGCUCCACAUCUGGAUCCUCCUCCUCCACGUCUGUGUCGCUCUCCACCCGGCACCGGAUUUUGGGGCUGGCAACAUCUGGAUCUGCAGCCACAUCUGGAAUUCCUGACAGGUCUUGGGUCAUUCUGAGCCUUUUUGGGGGCUCCACAUCUGGAUCCGCGGCCACAUCUGGAGUUCCUGGGAGGUUUUGGGUCAUCUUGGGGGGCUCCACAUCUGGAUCCGCGGCCACAUCUGGCGUCUCGGGCACCUUUUGGGUCACUCUGAGCCUUUCUGGGGACUCCACAUCUGGAUCCUCCCCCUCCACGUCCGUGUCACUCUCCACCCGGCACCAGAUUUUGGAGCUGACAACAUCUGGAUCCGCGGCCACAUCUGGAGUUUCCGGGACAUUUUGGGUCAUUCUGAGCCUUUUCGGGGGCUCCACAUCUGGAUCCUCCCCCUCUAUAUCCGUGUCGCUCUCCACCCGGCACCAGAUUUUGGGGCCGGCCACAUCUGGAUCCGGCUUUGGGGCCACAUCUGGAGUUCCUGGGAGGUCUUGGGUAUUCCUGAGGGGCUCCACAUCUGGAUCUGUGGCCACAUCUGGAGUUUCCAGGAGGUUUUGGGUCAUUUUCGGCCUUUUUGGGGGCUCCACAUCUGGAUCCUCCUCCACAUCUGUGUCACUCUCCACCUGGCACCACAUUUUGGGGGGCUCCACAUCUGGAUCCGCGGCCACAUCUGGAGUUUCCGGGACCUUUUGGGUCACUCUGAGCCUUUCUGGGGACUCCACAUCUGGAUCCUCCCCCUCCACGUCCGUGUCACUCUCCACCCGGCACCAGAUUUUGGAGCUGACAACAUCUGGAUCCGCGGCCACAUCUGGAGUUUCCGGGACAUUUUGGGUCAUUUUGAACCUUUUUAGGGGCUCCACAUCUGGAUCCGCAGCCACAUCUGGAGUUUCCGGGACAUUUUGGGUCAUUCUGAGCCUUUUCGGGGGCUCCACAUCUGGAUCCUCCCCCUCUACAUCCGUGUCGCUCUCCACCCGGCACCAGAUUUUGGGGCCGGCCACAUCUGGAUCCGGCUUUGGGGCCACAUCUGGAGUUCCUGGGAGGUUUUGGGUAAUUUUGGGCCUUUCUGGGGGCUCCACAUCUGGAUCCUCCUCCACAUCUGUGUCGCUCUCCACCUGGCACCAGAUUUUGAGGGGCUCCACAUCUGGAUCCUCCUCCACAUCUGGAGUUUCUGGGAGGUCUUGGGUCAUUUUCGGCCUUUUUGGGGGCUCCACAUCUGGAUCCUCCUCCACGUCCGUGUCGCUCUCCACCCGACAUGGGAUUUUGGGGGGCUCCACAUCUGGAUCCGGCUUUGGGGCCACAUCUGGAGUUUCCAGGACAUUCUGGGUAAUUUUGAGCCUUUUUGGGGACUCCACAUCUGGAUCCACAGCCACAUCUGGCGUCUCGGGCACCUUCUGGGUCAUUUUAGGGGGCUCCACAUCUGGAUCCUCCUCCACAUCUGUGUCGCUCUCCACCCGGCACCAGAUUUUGGGGGGCUCCACAUCUGGAUUUGGCUUUGGGGCCACAUCUGGCGUCUCUGGCAGGUUUUGGGUCAUUUUGAACCUUUCUGGGGGCUGCACAUCUGGAUCCUCCUCCACAUCGGUGUCACUCUCCACCUGGCACCGGAUUUUGGGGCCGGCCACAUCUGGAUCCGGCUUUGGGGCCACAUCUGGAGUUCCUGGGAGGUUUUGGGUAAUUUUGGGCCUUUCUNGCUGGGGACAGAUGGGAACAUUGGGGACAGCUGGGGACAGAUGGGAACAUUGGGGACAGCUGGGGACAGCUGGGGACAGCUGGGACACUGGGGACAGCUGGGGACAGAUGGGAACAUUGGGGACAGCUGGGAACAUUGGGGACAGCUGGGGACAGCUGGGACACUGGGGACACCUUUGGACACUGGGGACACCUGGGAACACACCUGGGACAUAGCUGGGGACAUCUGCGGCUAGCUGUCUAUUGUCCGUGUCCAUUGUCCCCUGCCAUUGUCACCUGUCCAUUGUCACCUGUCCCUUGUCACCUGUCCAUUGUCACCUGUCCAUUGUUCCCUGUCACCUGUCCAUUGUCCCCUGCCAUUGUCACCUGUCCAUUGUCACUUGUCACCUGUCCAUUGUCCCCUGUCCAUUGUCACCUGUCCAUUGUUCCCUGUCACCUGUCCAUUGUCACCUGUCCAUUGUCACCUGUCCAUUGUCACCUGUCCCUGUCCAUUGUCACCUGUCCAUUGUUCCCUGUCCCCUGUCCAUUGUCACCUGUCCCUGUCCAUUGUCACCUGUCCAUUGUCACCUGUCACCUGUCCAUUGUCACCUGUCCAUUGUUCCCUGUCACCUGUCCAUUGUCCUUGUCCAUUGUCACCUGUCCAUUGUCACCUGUCCAUUGUCACCUGUCCAUUGUCCCCUGUCCAUUGUCACCUGUCCCUGACCAUUGUCACCUGUCCAUUGUCACCUCUCUGUCCCCGUGUUGGGUGGUUUUGGGGCAAUUCCAGUGGUUUUGGGGUAAUUCCAGUGGUUUAGGGUAGGUUUUGGGUUGAUUCUGGGUGAUUUUGGGUGAUUUUGGGGCUGUUUUGGGUGGUUUUGGGGUGGUUUUGGGUGGUUUUGGGGAAUUCCGGUGGUUUUGGGGUAAUUCUGGGUGAUUUUGGGUGGUUUUGGGGUGAUUCUGGGUGAUUUUGGGUGGUUUUGGGUGGUUUUGGGGCAAUUCCGGUGGUUUUGGGGUAAUUCUGGGUGAUUUUGGGUGGUUUUGGGGUGAUUCUGGGUGAUUUUGGGUGGUUUUGGGUGGUUUUGGUGUAAUUCCAGUGGUUUAAGGUGGUGUUGGGGUGAUUCUGGGUGGUUUUGGGGUGAUUUUGGGUGGUUUUGGGGUGAUUCCAGUGCUUUUGGGUGAUUUUGGGUGGUUUUGGGGUAAUUCUGGGUGAUUUUGGGUGGUUUUGGUGUAAUUCCAG